UACGGAGUGUGCGAGCGUUACUCGGAAUCACGGGGCUUAAAGAGCACGUAGGUGGAGGCGCAAGUCGGUAGUGAAAUCCCCCGGCUCAACCGGGGACGGUCUGCCGAAACUGUGUUUCUUGAGGACGAGAGGGGAGAGUGGAACUUCUGGUGGAGCGGUGAAAUGCGUAGAUAUCAGAAGGAACACCGGUGGCGAAAGCGACUCUCUGGCUCGUUUCUGACGCUGAGGUGCGAAAGCUAGGGGAGCAAACGGG
This 253-nucleotide ribosomal RNA is filed under the name uncultured bacterium. Its description in RNAcentral is "partial 16S ribosomal RNA". It matches the Rfam family "Bacterial small subunit ribosomal RNA", at positions 524 to 776 of the family's 1533-position model. The record is from RNAcentral.